RNAcentral lists this transfer RNA (73 nucleotides) under Caloramator quimbayensis. Its description in RNAcentral is "tRNA_Gln_CTG". It matches the Rfam family "tRNA". From Rfam's summary of the family: Transfer RNA (tRNA) molecules are approximately 80 nucleotides in length. Their secondary structure includes four short double-helical elements and three loops (D, anti-codon, and T loops). The record is from RNAcentral. Lineage: Bacteria; Bacillati; Bacillota; Clostridia; Eubacteriales; Clostridiaceae.
UGCCGAGUCGCCAAGUGGUAAGGCACCUGACUCUGGAUCAGGUAUUCCGUGGGUUCGAGUCCUACCUCGGCAG